This 442-nucleotide ribosomal RNA is filed under the name uncultured bacterium. RNAcentral describes it as "partial 16S ribosomal RNA". It matches the Rfam family "Bacterial small subunit ribosomal RNA", at positions 338 to 795 of the family's 1533-position model. The record is from RNAcentral.
CCUACGGGAGGCAGCAGUGGGGGAUAUUGCACAAUGGGGGAAACCCUGAUGCAGCGACGCCGCGUGGGCGAAGAAGUAUUUCGGUAUGUAAAGUCCUAUCAGCAGGGAAGAAGAAAUGACGGUACCUGCGUAAGAAGCACCGGCUAAAUACGUGCCAGCAGCCGCGGUAAUACGUAUGGUGCAAGCGUUAUCCGGAUUUACUGGGUGUAAAGGGAGCGCAGGCGGCACGGCAAGCCUGAUGUGAAAGCCCGCGGCCGAACCGCGGGACUGCAUUGGGAACUACCGGGCUGGAGGGCCGGAGAGGUAGGCGGAAUGCCUAGUGUAGCGGUGAAAUGCGUAGAUAUUAGGAGGAACACCAGUGGCGAAGGCGGCCUACUGGACGGUGACUGACGCUGAGGCUCGAAAGCGUGGGGAGCAAACAGGAUUAGAUACCCCGGUAGUC